Molecule: transfer RNA, 71 nt
Filed under: Ictidomys tridecemlineatus (thirteen-lined ground squirrel)
Lineage: Eukaryota; Metazoa; Chordata; Mammalia; Rodentia; Sciuridae
Description: Spermophilus tridecemlineatus (thirteen-lined ground squirrel) tRNA
Rfam family: tRNA
About the family: Transfer RNA (tRNA) molecules are approximately 80 nucleotides in length.
Source: Rfam by way of RNAcentral
GUAAAUGUAGCUCAGUGGUAGAGUGUUUGCCUACCAUGUGUGAGGCCCUGAGUUCAAUCCCAGCACUUCCA